RNAcentral lists this ribosomal RNA (271 nucleotides) under uncultured bacterium. Its description in RNAcentral is "partial 16S ribosomal RNA". It matches the Rfam family "Bacterial small subunit ribosomal RNA", at positions 524 to 794 of the family's 1533-position model. The record is from RNAcentral.
UACAGAGGUGGCAAGCGUUGUUCGGAAUUACUGGGCGUAAAGCGCGUGUAGGCGGCUCUUCAAGUCAGGCGUGAAAGCCCCAGGCUCAACCUGGGAACUGCGCUUGAUACUGUCGAGCUAGAGUGUGGAAGGGGCGAUUGGAAUUCCGUGUGUAGCGGUGAAAUGCGUAGAGAUCUGGAGGAAUACCGAUGGCGAAGGCAGCCCCCUGGCCUGAUACUGACACUGAGGUGCGAAAGCAUGGGGAGCAAACAGGAUUAGAAACCCCGGUAGU